UACGUAGGGUGCGAGCGUUAAUCGGAAUUACUGGGCGUAAAGCGUGCGCAGGCGGUUGUGUAAGACAGAUGUGAAAUCCCCGGGCUCAACCUGGGAACUGCAUUUGUGACUGCACGGCUGGAGUGCGGCAGAGGGGGAUGGAAUUCCGCGUGUAGCAGUGAAAUGCGUAGAUAUGCGGAGGAACACCGAUGGCGAAGGCAAUCCCCUGGGCCUGCACUGACGCUCAUGCACGAAAGCGUGGGGAGCGAACAGG
This 253-nucleotide ribosomal RNA is filed under the name uncultured bacterium. Its description in RNAcentral is "partial 16S ribosomal RNA". It matches the Rfam family "Bacterial small subunit ribosomal RNA", at positions 524 to 776 of the family's 1533-position model. The record is from RNAcentral.